AAUGUUGACCUCGGAUCAGGUAGGAAUACCCGCUGAACUUAAGCAUAUCAAUAAGCGGAGGA
RNAcentral lists this ribosomal RNA (62 nucleotides) under Fusarium oxysporum f. sp. raphani. RNAcentral's name for it is "partial 28S ribosomal RNA". It matches the Rfam family "Eukaryotic large subunit ribosomal RNA", at positions 1 to 57 of the family's 3401-position model. RNAcentral also lists the same sequence under 1 other name. Lineage: Eukaryota; Fungi; Ascomycota; Sordariomycetes; Hypocreales; Nectriaceae. The record is from RNAcentral.